Molecule: ribosomal RNA, 253 nt
Filed under: uncultured bacterium
Lineage: Bacteria
Description: partial 16S ribosomal RNA
Rfam family: Bacterial small subunit ribosomal RNA
Source: RNAcentral
UACGUAGGGGGCAAGCGUUGUCCGGAUUUAUUGGGCGUAAAGAGCGUGUAGGCGGCCAGGUAGGUCUGCUGUGAAAACUCGAGGCUUAACCUCGAGCUGUCGGCGGAAACCAUCUGGCUAGAGUCCGGAAGAGGAGAAUGGAAUUCCCGGUGUAGCGGUGAAAUGCGCAGAUAUCGGGAAGAACACCCGUGGCGAAGGCGGCGUCCUGGACCAACACUGACACUGAUGAGCGAAAGCCAGGGGAGCAAACGGG